This 354-nucleotide long non-coding RNA is filed under the name Ananas comosus (pineapple). RNAcentral describes it as "long non-coding RNA (ACOM_LNC002039)". The record is from RNAcentral. Lineage: Eukaryota; Viridiplantae; Streptophyta; Magnoliopsida; Poales; Bromeliaceae.
CCCGACCCGAGCACGUCAAACAGACGCCGAACGGACAGAAUUUUUCCUAUCCGCCCAAGGCUCAUCACAUGUACAUUUUCAUCAAUAGAAAAAAGCACUAGCGGAAACAUGCACAAACGGCUUACACAAGGGUAAGCAAUAGCCACGAGUGAGAGAAAAAGGAAACUAAACAUUCACUUGUACUAUGAUUCAUUUUUGAUUAUAUACACUGCAUUCAUCUUGUACAUUUUCAAAUUUCUUACAUUUUAUUUCAUCAUUUCUUUCUUACAUCACAUUUACCUCAAAAUACACAUUACAUUCUUUCCUUUACAUUAUUUCUCAUCAAGUACAAAGAUGAUCAUAGGGUACUUUACU